GUAUUCCAUAGAUUUUCAUAAACUGCAACAAAUGGUACAUUAUUUAAUUUCCUUGUACAAUAAUGUAAUCAAAAGUCUCCUUGGUAUAGAUUAAUUCUCGAGUACAAGUCUUUCACUCAUUCUUUCUCCACAUGCAUAUAUAUACCUUUAUUCGUGGCUUGUGUUGAGCUUCUUUCUGGGAAUUAAAUCAUUAUUUAUUUCAAGUUGGUUGUAUUAAAAGGGCAAGUGCUUUUUAGAUAAUGCAAGUUACCCCUUCUAGUUGGCAGGUCAGUUUCCUCUCUAUUAGGUUUCUUCACAAGUGUUGUGUUAUGUAAUGUUAUUUUUUAU
Molecule: unclassified non-coding RNA, 327 nt
Filed under: Hevea brasiliensis (rubber tree)
Lineage: Eukaryota; Viridiplantae; Streptophyta; Magnoliopsida; Malpighiales; Euphorbiaceae
Source: RNAcentral